This 222-nucleotide ribosomal RNA is filed under the name uncultured bacterium. RNAcentral describes it as "partial 16S ribosomal RNA". It matches the Rfam family "Bacterial small subunit ribosomal RNA", at positions 109 to 334 of the family's 1533-position model. The record is from RNAcentral.
AGUAAUACAUCGGAACGUGCCCAGUUGUGGGGGAUAGCCCGGCGAAAGCCGGAUUAAUACCGCAUACGACCUGUGGGUGAAAGCGGGGGAUCGCAAGACCUCGCGCUAUUGGAGCGGCCGAUGUCGGAUUAGCUUGUUGGUGAGGUAAGAGCUCACCAAGGCGACGAUCCGUAGCUGGUCUGAGAGGACGACCAGCCACACUGGGACUGAGACACGGCCCAG